RNAcentral lists this ribosomal RNA (334 nucleotides) under uncultured eukaryote. RNAcentral's name for it is "partial 18S ribosomal RNA". It matches the Rfam family "Eukaryotic small subunit ribosomal RNA", at positions 1470 to 1796 of the family's 1831-position model. The record is from RNAcentral.
CCCUUAGAUGUCCGGGGCCGCACGCGCGCUACACUGAAGGAAUCAGCGUGGCUUUCUCCCUGACCCGAAAGGGUUGGGAAACCCGUUGAAUCUCCUUCGUGAUAGGGCUUGGGGCUUGAAAUUGUUCCCCAUGAACGAGGAAUUCCCAGUAAGCGCGAGUCAUAAGCUCGCGUUGAUUACGUCCCUGCCCUUUGUACACACCGCCCGUCGCUACUACCGAUUGAACGGUUUAGUGAGGGCCUCGGAUUGGUCUCGGCCCGCUCUUUACCGGGCGGCGCCGUUGGUCGAGAAGACGCUCGAACUUGAUCGUUUAGAGGAAGUAAAAGUCGUAACA